GACAGAGGGCGCGAACGUUGUUCGGAAUUACUGGGCGUAAAGCGCGUGUAGGCGGCAACGCAAGUCGGGCGUGAAAUCCCACGGCUCAACCGUGGAAGUGCACUCGAAACUGCGUAGCUAGAGUCCUGGAGAGGAAGGUGGAAUGCUUGGUGUAGAGGUGAAAUUCGUAGAUAUCAAGCGGAACACCGGUGGCGAAGGCGGCCUUCUGGACAGUGACUGACGCUGAGACGCGAAAGCGUGGGGAGCAAACAGG
Molecule: ribosomal RNA, 253 nt
Filed under: uncultured bacterium
Lineage: Bacteria
Description: partial 16S ribosomal RNA
Rfam family: Bacterial small subunit ribosomal RNA
Source: RNAcentral